This 250-nucleotide ribosomal RNA is filed under the name uncultured prokaryote. RNAcentral's name for it is "partial 16S rRNA". It matches the Rfam family "Bacterial small subunit ribosomal RNA", at positions 525 to 775 of the family's 1533-position model. The record is from RNAcentral.
ACGUAGGGGACGAGCGUUGUCCGGAUUUACUGGGCGUAAAGGGCGCGUAGGCGGUCAUUUAAGUCAGCUGUGAAAUGGUUUGGCUUAACCGGAUCAUGCGGUUGAAACUGGAUGACUGGAGUGCUGGAGAGGAAAGUGGAAUUCCCAGUGGAGCGGUGAAAGGAGAAGAUAAAGGGAAGAAGACAGGAGGCGAAGGCGACAAGCUGGAAAGAAAAUGACACUGAGGAAAGAAAGAAAGGGGAGAAAAAAG